UCAACGGGCGAUGGCAUCGGUGCACUCCUCCACAGGAGAGGGGACUGAGGGGGCUUGGGGACGGAGUGCAAGCUUUAAUCCGGUUCGUCCUUCAUAGUUUCUAAAGUCCGCUGUCGAGCUGACAGCUGACAAAGAUAGUAAGGAGGAAUUGAGAGGAAACUAUUUUUAAGCAGACAUCACUUGUCAGAUCUCGUCCCUGGUUUGACAAAGGGCAAGAGGAAUGCCGACACACACCGUCUGAAGGAAAAAGACCACGCGGCUGGAUGCAGGUUACACAUGGACCGAGAGAAAGCAGUGUUCAGUACACAAAGAGCUGCUGGCCUGUUGUUGGAGGUUUCUAAAUAUAACCUCUUAUUUCAUACUGCUGAAAAAAAAGAGAGAAAACCAGUCUAUUGCUGAGAACAGGGGACUUGAGCCUGUGUGGAGUGUGUGUGUGUCAUUGUCACUCAUAAAUACCAGCAACCUGUGAGGCACAGCGCCUUGCUGAGGGUGUUACAUAAGGACCAGAGAGGCUUAGUUGAGAUUUGUGUCCUCUUCAAUACGGCCCUCACACUGACAUCUGCUUGUGGCUGCUCCAUGAUGGCCCACUCACUCUGGACCGAAUCACAGGACGCUCACCUACAGAGGGAUUUUAUCAUAUAGAAUUCUACACCCCACAACCAAUUAUCAACACUUAACUUGUAUCGCUUGCCGCAGCUUCAGACUCAACAGGGCAUGUUGUAGAGUUAAAAGUUUUUAUGAUGUGUAUUUUACAGUACCUUCCGCACUGAGUAAGGAGUAAAUAAGAAAGCGUUGCAGAAUAUAUUACUGUUGUGGCUGUUAAAGCUACUAUGUGUAGAAAACUUUAGGGCAUCCCCAGUGGUAGUACUCUGACAGCACUCCUCCCCCAAAUUCCUUUGAAGUCAACAACACGAGAGAUACGGAAUAAAUCAACCCACAAUACGUCAUCAAGUGAUUCCUGGAGCUCACUGCACAUCACAUAAAAUAAUGUAAAAGUGGUAAUAUUACAGCUGUUGCACUGCAGUUGUGUCUUCUCUCUAACCACUUGACCGCUCUUCCAACCAACCCAAUCUACAAAAAUGCAACAUAAACAACUGGGACAGACAUUAGAACAAACAGUUCUUUGGCCAACCCUGCAGUAUGCCUCCUAUUAUCACAGAAAUGAGGUAACUGCUGGAUUCUAAGUAGUAUCCGAAUCAUUUGUUACGCAUUGUCUGUAAAAAUGAGGUGAUCGAACGGCGCUCUCUAACUAAACUUGUGGAGAUGAAGUAAUGAAUCACACUUAAGGGAGAGCGUGCUGCAUGUGUUCGCAAGAAGAUGUGAAGGGCAGAGGAGCUCUCUGUAGCGGAGAGAGAAAGAAACAGAACCCGGGACACUGUGGCAGCAUUUGAUUCCAGUUGAGCAUCAGAGCACUGGGUGUACUUUACUGAAGGACACAAUCAUUAAGACAGAGAGGAAGGGAGAGAAGGCAAAAUAAAGAUGGACACUGCCAUGACUCAAAGCAAAGUUCUCCCCGUAGAUGGGAUAUUAAAAGGCUCCUAUCUCAUCCCUGGACGGGUGCCCAGGACGGCAUGUGCCAGCCAAGAUAAGUUGUCUGGAUGUAGUCCAUAAAUGGACCCUAUUACGCUAAUUUAUCUCCCCAUUCACUUGCCGUAACUCUCCCCCUUCACUUUUCAACUUAAUCAACUUGUACAAUACAUACGAAAUGGGUUUAAUAAAUCCCUGCAGAAGAGGCUGAGGAGCUUCUCCAUCUUGGCUACUUCCACUUCAGGACCCUUAGGCAUUUCUUGACCCUUCUUGCUCUACACACACACAAGAGAGAGAGAGAGAGAGAGAGAGAGAGAGAGAGAGAGAGAGAGAGAGAGAGAGAGAGAGAGAGAGAGGAAUAAGAAAUGACUUGACUUCACACUUUCCAAGCACUGGGAGAGACCACAAACCCAGCAGGCAGGCAGUUAACAAGAGGAGAGCACAACAUAAUCAGACAGAAAGUGAAAUGGAUAUAAGGUCAAUAGUUGAACAGUAGUUUUAUUACUCCAUUAUUUAAUAAUUUCUUUCCACCAUAUUGUGAAAAGUGCUACCUAAAGGGCACAAUUGCAAAGGGCAAAUUCAAAGACAUCUUCUAAUAAAUACACUACUGUGUGUGCAAAAGCACAGCCACUUAAGAGCUAUAUAAUGUGGCUAAACGUUUGUCUUGUCCUGCUGCAGGACCUCUUUCUACCUCUGUUAAAGGAUAUUUAACAGGCCUAUUGUUACUCAUUUACUAUUGUCUAAGUACUAUUGUUAAGUCUUUUCUCAACUGAACUGGACUUUGAUUAAAGAAGCCUGAUAUAAUCUUAAAGUUCAACAUAGCUUCACUUGAUUUUAACCAUCCUAAAUCAGGAAAUAACACAUAUAAGAGCUGGGAAUUUAAGAGAAUAAAACGCAUUACAGCUGUAUGACCACUGUGCAACUGGUGACAUAAUCAUGCCACAUUUUAAGGUAGUUAUAUUAAUUUAUUAUAUAUAAUUAGCUGUAUAAUGAUAUUACAACUUACCGGCUAUGCUGUACAAAUAUGAUGGACGAUAUUAUUGUUCAUACUAAUAGAGACUGGAGAUUCUCAGGUGGAAGAAAAAGCAAAAAAAAAAAAAAAUGUGUAAAAAAAAUCUAGCAGUGUAAAGAUCUUAUUACUUAUAACUUACUGUUUAACAACUAUUUAUGUAAGCAGUGAAUCUAUUUACCUGUCUGGCUCUCACCAAGACAUCCAAGAAACUGGCACAAGAACGAAAAUGAAAGCAGUCCACAACUCAUUUGGGUUUAUUACAGAGACAACUGGAAGGAUGCAUCAAGAUGCUUCCUGUGGCCUGAAAGCUUUUUCACAGCAGACACUUGCUGGCAGAGGAAAAGCAGCAGUGUAACUAAUAAAAUGAAUGAUGGCCCAUUAUAUUCAAGCGUCCCGGUAAGUAAUUCUAGCGAGCCAAAAUGCACAUUACACAGGACCCUGGAACUAAAAAGGUCUAUUCUAGUCAAGUUUUAUUUAGUGUGUUCACACUGGAUAAAUGACAGCAUGAAGGAUAAAAAUACUAGUAUGCAUACUAAAAUACAUUAGUGUUGGUGGACCAUCCCUUAAUGCAACAGACAGUGGAAAUACACAGUCAUAAACUUUUAGCCUUAAUUUGAUGUCUGUGCAACUUUUAUCAUAUCCUGCUAGCAUGGCUCGUAUUAGUAUGGAAUUGGGACAGAGUGAGAAGUGUGAAACCUCUAUUCACUAGUCGAAUAAAUGAGGGGUGUCUUCUAACUCCUCCUAUGAAGCUUAGAAAAUGUAUAUCUAUAUUUUGAUGUAGCUAUUUUGAAGUGUGAAAUGGAUACAGCGAGGGGGCUAAUCCAGACAGACAGCUGCAUUCCCUAAACGAAUGAGCAUCAAACCUCGAUGCAACAUAAUAUCUCUGACAUGAUGAAUGGCUCAAUAAAGCAGAGGAGAGAAAGGCUGACUAACGCACACAACAGCACUUAAAAUUAAUAAAACUUCAAGUUUAAUCAAAAUCAUUAAAAUUCAUUAUCUCUCGGGAUGUCAACCCUUGUUCUGAUUUAUUUUCUAAAUUCUUAUUUUUGCUUGCUUUGCUUACAGCGACAGUGAAAUCCCUUUGCUGUGUCUACUGCAUACAGAUAGGAAGCCCCACCUGAGUUGCAAGGCUCAGAAAUUUAUGUCUGUUAAUUUUCUUGUACUCAACAUUAAUACAAAUUCAAAUGUUAUGAUAGACAUUAUAUUCUGGGAGACAGUAGAUAUUAACAGACAAUAACAAAAUAUUGCAUAACUGCCACUUGUGGUUUGCGGGCAGCAAAGAAUGAGGCCACUGCAAAGAGAUGAGCAGAUGAGAUGAACACAUUCAUGCUGCACACAGUUGAACAGAACAGCGCGUUGUGUUGAACACAGACGGGUCAUUUGGUGUUAGUGGUCAUCGAAAGCUGAGGAACUUUUGCAAUGUGUGUCUAAUGUACACUAUCAUUUCUUUACAGUUCACUUUCAGGUACUUAAUAUGCAUUAUGUGAAUUGUGACACACUUUCAGACCAGUUUUAAUUAGAACGUGAUGACUGCACAAACCUUAUCUAUCACAGCAGACUCUUGUUUCACCUUAGACUUUCAAACAUUUAAAGCACCACUGGCUAGUAACAAGGGACAUGGACUCUUGGGCCCACACAGACCCUCCACGAUUAACACCACAUAUCCACAGGCCUAUACAAUUCUGUGUGUACAGCAUAACAGCACGUACACCUGACACUAGCUCAUUAGGGACUGUAGCCCUUAGGCAUACAACUAGGAAAUAAGUGCUCGGUUCAGUACAGUGGAGAGCACUCUGCACAUUUUAGAAGAUACUUUGGCUAGGUGCACCCUGUAGUAAAUGUCUGUUUCCUGGCACUUUUUUUGUGAAGCAAAAAACAAUGAAUUAAAAACUAUUUGAGCAACCCUGCAGGGUAUAAGAGGUCAAGUGGACUGGAGUAGUUUAGUGAGAGUAAACGAGCCAAGAAGUUGUCUCAUUGGUCUUAUCGAAAGCCCUUGAAAUGUAGGUUACGGUUUGGAUUGCUAGGCCACUGUGCCAAUGGUUUGGGUAUAUUCAUGGGCCACCAUGCCCAUUGUGCUGGUUUUAGUAGGCUGCUGUGCCAGUUUUAUAAGACAUAUUAUUGAUAAUAUUUGCUGUGGGUGUUUGUGCCUGAUGCUUAUUUGCCACACAGAGCACUGUCAGUGGUGCUGAACUGUGCAAUUAUUUCCCAAUUGUAUGCUUUAGGGCUACAGUCUGAGGUCGCUAAUGAGGUAGCUCUGAAUGUGUGUGUAUGUGUUGUUAUGCUGUACCCAUACAAACUGUGUUUAUGCGUGUGGUGAAAGGAGAACUGUUUAUGUGUGUUGAAUCCAGACGUGUCAGUGCCGUGUAUAAUGCAUAAAAACGUGUUGUGAAAAUAAAUACGUGUUACUCGA
This is a long non-coding RNA of Dicentrarchus labrax (European seabass), 4949 nucleotides long. RefSeq lists it as uncharacterized. The record is from RefSeq and is a predicted model, not a curated record. The transcript has 2 exons. Lineage: Eukaryota; Metazoa; Chordata; Actinopteri; Moronidae.